UGGGGAAUAUUGCACAAUGGGCGCAAGCCUGAUGCAGCCAUGCCGCGUGUAUGAAGAAGGCCUUCGGGUUGUAAAGUACCUUCAGCGAGGAGGAAGGCGAUGCGGUUAAUAACCGUGUCGAUUGACGUUACUCGCAGAAGAAGCACCGGCUAACUCCGUGCCAGCAGCCGCGGUAAUACGGAGGGUGCAAGCGUUAAUCGGAAUUACUGGGCGUAAAGCGCACGCAGGCGGUCUGUCAAGUCGGAUGUGAAAUCCCCGGGCUCAACCUGGGAACUGCAUUCGAAACUGGCAGGCUUGAGUCUUGUAGAGGGGGGUAGAAUUCCAGGUGUAGCGGUGAAAUGCGUAGAGAUCUGGAGGAAUACCGGUGGCGAAGGCGGCCCCCUGGACAAAGACUGACGCUCAGGUGCGAAAGCGUGGGGAGCAAACA
This 427-nucleotide ribosomal RNA is filed under the name uncultured bacterium. RNAcentral's name for it is "partial 16S ribosomal RNA". It matches the Rfam family "Bacterial small subunit ribosomal RNA", at positions 355 to 774 of the family's 1533-position model. The record is from RNAcentral.